RNAcentral lists this ribosomal RNA (377 nucleotides) under uncultured bacterium. RNAcentral's name for it is "bacterial SSU rRNA". It matches the Rfam family "Bacterial small subunit ribosomal RNA", at positions 521 to 896 of the family's 1533-position model. The record is from RNAcentral.
UAAGACGAGCUCUCCAAACGUUAUUCGGUAUUACUGGGCUUAAAGAGUUCGUAGGCGGUCUUGUAGGUGAGGUGUGAAAGCCCUCGGCUUAACCGAGGAAUUGCGCUUCAAACCGCGAGGCUUGAGGGAGGUAGGGGUAUGCGGAACAGAUGGUGGAGCGGUGAAAUGCGUUGAUAUCAUCUGGAACACCGGUGGCGAAAGCGGCAUACUGGACCUUUUCUGACGCUGAGGAACGAAAGCUAGGGUAGCGAACGGGAUUAGAUACCCCGGUAGUCCUAGCCGUAAACGAUGAGCACUAGUCUGUAGGGACCCUCACAUCCUUUCGGACGUAGCGAAAGUGUUAAGUGCUCCGCCUGGGGAGUAUGGUCGCAAGGCUG